This is a long non-coding RNA of Homo sapiens (human), 198 nucleotides long. RefSeq lists it as uncharacterized. The transcript has 2 exons. The record is from RefSeq and is a predicted model, not a curated record. Lineage: Eukaryota; Metazoa; Chordata; Mammalia; Primates; Hominidae.
GGCAAGCCCCAGGAAUCUGCAUUUUAACACUCUGGUGGUGAUUUUGAUGUACACACUCACUGCAAAAGCUUCACCAAGGUGGCCCAACUCACUGGUUCCUUUGCUCUGGCCUCAACAAACUAGCCAUGCUGUAAAGAAAGCUUUAAACACUCCAGCUGCUGGGUCAAGACUCAAGACUAAGUUUAUUCAGCAGAGACA